AUCUGAUCCCAGGAAUUUAGGUGCGUUAAAAUUUCUGUGUUUUAAAUUUACUUUUUGUCCUGUUGGGUUUAUUGUCUUUUGAUAGUUGCUCAAAUUAUUAUAUUCUUCUUUCUCCUGUUUGUCUCAAAGGAAUCAGAAUUUCAGCCAGUCUGUCGUCUGUGGUGUUGUUGGUGGCCUGUGUUACUGCACUCAUCUUUGUCUGGUAUAGAAAGAAAUCUCAGAGCAGUCAGUCACACAGGCAGGUUGAGAUGAAUGUUAUACCUACCUGAAGCUACGAUGAGAAAUACAGGGGACUCCAACACCUUCAGGUAAACAACGUGACAAGUGGGUACCUGCUGACACCACAUGAUGAUCUGGGUCCUUCAUUUUCAACAGCAACAAAACUACAUAAUGAAAAAAUUGUACUUUUUUUGUUUACUUUUUUUCAAGAAGAGUGUAUUACCUAAAACAAUGGUGCUAACAUUUGACAAAUAACUGCAUUAAAGUUGUACUAAAGAAAAUGUCAAUUGUUACAUUUACAGUUAAAAUAGUUACAAUUGUAUUUUUUAUAAUAUCUUCUGAGCUAUAUAUUUAUAGCACACGUAUUUUUAUUUUAUUUUAUUUUUCAACAGUUUUAAAUGUUGUUAUUCCUUUUUACAUUUGGAAUUAUGUGACCAUGUUGUUUCUUAACAGAACAGCGCAAAAGUUUAACAAGCACUAAAAUGUGUUGCACUGAAACUUUUGUAAACUGUUAAAUAACAUUAUUGUCCUGUAGAUUUCCAUUUUCAUGUACUUGGUGCUAUUUAAUUUUUACACUGUUUUUAAAGUAUUUGAAAAAAAAUGAAAAUGCAAGGCAAUAAAAAAUUGAUGAUG
Oreochromis niloticus (Nile tilapia) is the source of this 852-nucleotide long non-coding RNA. RefSeq lists it as uncharacterized. The record is from RefSeq and is a predicted model, not a curated record. Lineage: Eukaryota; Metazoa; Chordata; Actinopteri; Cichliformes; Cichlidae. The transcript is spliced from 3 exons.